CGCCGAGAGCGCUAACGUCUCUUCAGCGUCCUGUCUCGCGGGAUUUCCCCACUGGCUUCUCGCGAGAAUGAAGGCAGGCGGCUGCCACGGAGAUGGAGCCGCCGCAGCGCGUGCCUACCGGUCUCCCCGCGAUACUGGCGCAGACAGACUGGUCUGAACCAUGGCUAUUGGGACUUGCAGUUUUCCACAUCCUCUGCUUCCUGAUCACUUGCUUUUCAUUCCAGCGCUAUCACCUGCAGAUAGGGCAUUUUCUCUGCAUGGUGGCCUUGGUGUAUUGUGCUGAAUAUAUCAAUGAACUGGCUGCUAUGAAUUGGAGGUUAUUUUCUAAAUACCAAUAUUUCGAUUCAAGAGGGAUGUUUAUUUCCCUAGUAUUUUCAGCUCCAUUGCUGUUGAAUGCUAUAAUAAUAGUGAUUACCUGGGUUUAUAAAACAUUGAAUGUAAUGACUGAAUUGAAGACACUACAGCAAAAAAGAAGAGCAGAAAAAGAAAAGAAAAAGUGAAUAUUAAUUGAUUUAUUUUCAAUAACACUCUGAGACACGAUGGUCAAGAUGGGUUCUGAAAAAUAUUUGGCAGUCAUGAUGGAUGAUCAGCCGAACAUGAGUGCCCAUUGCAACACCAGCCAAAAGGACUUUUGCAAUCCUGCAGAAUCUCAAGUGCUGAUCUUGCAAGCUGAUCAGUGGGGACAGUUCUCUGCACCUUUUGUGGAGCUGAACCAAAAUCAGUGAAGCUUGUGCAGUCCUAAGAGUCCACCCACACAGAUUGCCUUAUAAGGGCUGGGCCCUUCAGCAUCAGGGACAUGUCUCACUUUGUCUUGUACAGCAAGACAACAAUGUUGGAGCAUAAUAAAUAAGAGACUGCAGUGCUUAACAGAAUAAUGCACAUGCCAAUACACAAUCUUUAAUAAGUAAAAAUGGCAGUUUUAGCAUUGAGGAAGCUGGAUAUCACCAUAAUGCUACAAUAGUUUGCAUACUUUUAAGUGGAUAGAAGCUGGAUGUUUUCUUUGUUAAAAAUCAGUUAAUACAAAAGCACAAUGGCUUCUUUUUCCCCAAAGUGUGGAUAUGUGCACAUUCAAAGAGAAUAGGUGCCAAAUCAAUAAAGUAAGUAUUUUUUUUUAAAAUUGGAGUCUUAGCUUUGUUCAGCUCCAGGAAACUCUCAAAAUACACUUCAGAAUGCUAAGUAUAAUUGAAGCAGCACAUGGUUUUAAGCCUUCUCCGUUAAAAGGUCUCUUAAAGAUAAAUAGCAAUACAUUUAAGAAAAAUAAUAUAGUUGUAUAAAUUAAUGACUACAAACUGAGCCAAGUGUGAUUUCCAAAUGAAAUAAAAUGUAAAUAACAAAAGUAUUUCUGCAUUUUUUUUCCCCCAUGGGAUUAUCAAGCCUUACUUAUGUUGAUUACUUUUCCUAUAGAUAACCUUUUUGUGUAACAUUAUGAAGGAAAUUUUAAGUUUUAGAGUGAGGGAAAUACAUACAAGAACAGUAAAAAAUGUUUUUCAGAUUUAUAAAAAAAAUGAAAUGUGUUUUUAACCAUAAGAGCAUCCCUCAGAGAAUUAAAUGGAAAGUGCCGAUUGUGUUGGUUAUAAUAGGAAUGGAUUUAUGAAGUGAUAGAACAAUAAAUUUAAUCUAAAAGCCUACUUGCUGACAAACCUAAAAUAAUUACAUCCUGAAUUUAGACAGUUUUUGCUGACUUCAGCUUUCUAUAUGUAUAAGUAACUUGGGGCUACAUUUCUAUUUGUGGUAAAAAGCCUGAGUCCACAUGCUUGCCUGGAAGAUUUCAAUGGAGGUUUUGUGAGGAAAAGACUCCUUCUCAGUGAACCUGGAGCAGCAAAGACACAGCCAAGAGAUAGCUGCUCUACUAACUACUGCAUACUUUGGGCUACAAAGGGGAAUUUAGUCAUUGGAUUCAUGUAAGUGGCAGAGACAAGCUACACCCCCAACAUGCCCUGAUCUCUUCUCAGUGCUAUGGGGAGAACCACCGUGGAAUAAUGCUAAAAGGUGCAUGAGGAGUAUGACGUCCAUCCUUCCUGUAGCCCAGUUUUCUCUCUAUUUGAAUCAUGGCACUUCUGGUGCAUUAUGUGCCUCUGAAAGGGGGGCAAUUAGGACUGUGACCUAAAUUUGCUAAAGAACCUUAAAUGCAAUAGAAUUUGAAGUUAACAUCAUUCCAAAUGCAAAACUGGUUAAUGAACUGAGCUGAGGUGAAUUUCCCCAAAGACACUUGAUGCGACUCUGUCUGGAAACUUGAGGAGGAGGAGAAGAAAAAAAAACGAGGAGUCAGUUUUUAACAAUUUCAUUCUAUAUAAGAGGACACACACUCUGGAUUGGAACAGGUUUACUGAAAGUAAUGUGUUCCUUCAGUUCAAUAAGACAAGAAGUCAGAUUAUUUUUCCCCCUUUUUAUUUUAAAGCUAAACUAAAUCUGUUAAGAAUGAGGACAUCUACUAGUACUGACAUGCAGCAAUCACUUAGGGCUAGAUUUUGAAAGGUAUUCAGAUGCCUGAAGACGCAGAUUGGUGCCUAAUGGGAUUUUCAAAAGUGUUUAAGCAAGUUAGGCACCUAACACACAUUGAUUUCAAUGGGCUUGGCCAUUAAGAACAUGCAUAAUUUUAAACAUGAGUAAUUGAUGGGACUAGUCACAUGCAUAAAGCUAUGCAUGGACUUAAGUGCUUUGCUGGAUCAGGGCCUCAAGUAGCAUACUCAUUUUGAUAAAUCUAUCGUGUAUGCAUUUCAGAAAAUGUGUAGCAUAGCUUCUGCUAGGGUACUAUAUUAACUUUAAAACUUAGCCUUGUGUGUGUAUAAAGGAUUGUCAUCUGGAGGAGGAAAGGUUUGGUUUGCCUUUUUUACGUAGGUUUUAGUAGUAUAAAACUUUGGGAAAAAGUUUGAAGUCAGAAAUAACUGUUGAAUUUUGGUGAUCAAAAUUACACUGAAGUUUUGGACUCAAGACCUUUUCCAAUUAUUUGAGCUAUAGCAACUUUUAAAAAAAAAAAGAGGUUAUAUGUUAGGAAUUUGGAUGAUAAAGAAUCAAGUUUCUAAUUUAGUGAAUGUUUUGUUCCUCUAUCAUGUUGAACUGUUUUUUACAUGUAUAUAUGUGUGUGUGUGUGUCUCAUGCUUUUUAACAUAAUUAGGGGAAAAUACUUGUAAACACUUAACUUUACAGUGUGACUAAAAGCAGUUUGUGCAAGUUGUUAACCAAAGUUUGUAUCUCGGCACAGAAAACUUAGAUACAAAUGUAUACACAGAUAUACAGUAUCAAAUUUAAAUAUUUUUAAAUGCGGAACACCCCAGAAAUCUUGUACACCUCUACCCUGAUAUAAGGCUGUCGUCAGGAGUCAAAAAAUCUUACCGUGUUAUAGGUGAAACCAUGUUAUAACGAAUUUGCUUUGAUCCGCCAGAGCAUGCAGCCCUGCUCCCCCUGGAGUGUUGCUUUACUGUAUUACAUCCAUAUUUAUGUUAUCUUGGGGUAGAGGUGUAUAUGUUCAAGACAUAGGGAUCAGUUUUGAGUAUGGAAACAUCAGUUUACAUCCAGUACAAGUGUAAUAUGAGUAGGGAAUACUAUGGUAAAUUAGGAUUUAUGGGGCCCUAUGCAGUAUUAUUAAAACUGGUGCCCCUAUGCCUGACUUGCUCUUAGCAACACAAAUGUAACCUUACAGUAAUGAAAAACUUGCCACGUGCACUUUAUUAAAACUAGUUUAAACAA
This is an RNA transcript of Gopherus flavomarginatus (Mexican gopher tortoise), 3687 nucleotides long. It is a transcript of the gene named transmembrane protein 18, with no coding region annotated. The record is from RefSeq and is a predicted model, not a curated record. The transcript has 7 exons. NCBI's taxonomy places the organism in Eukaryota, Metazoa, Chordata, Testudines, Testudinidae.